CAAUAGCGUAUAUUAAAGUUGUUGCAGUUAGAACGCUCGUAGUCGGAUUUCGGGGCGGGCCGACCGGUCUGCCGAUGGGUACGCACUGGUCGGCGCGUCCUUCCUUCCGGAGACCGUCCCUACUCUUAACUGAGCGGGGGCGGGAGACGGAACGUUUACUUUGAAAAAAUCAGAGUGUUUCAAGCAGGCAGCUCGCUCUUGCAUGGAUUAGCAUGGGAUAAUGAAAUAGGACUUUGGUGCUAUUUUGUUGGUUUCGAACACCGAAGUAAUGAUGAGAAGGGACAGUCAGGGGCACUCGUAUUCCGCCGAGAGAGGUGAAAUUCUCAGACCAGCGGAAGACGAACCACUGCGAAAGCAUUUGCCAGGGAUGUUUUCACUG
RNAcentral lists this ribosomal RNA (379 nucleotides) under uncultured eukaryote. RNAcentral's name for it is "partial 18S ribosomal RNA". It matches the Rfam family "Eukaryotic small subunit ribosomal RNA", at positions 592 to 975 of the family's 1831-position model. The record is from RNAcentral.